CUGAAUACCCAAAAGAUUAACGUUAAAUAACACGGAAAAAUGGACUCCGAAAACUCAGUUUUUCAGUAGGAAUAACAAUUAACUAGGAGUAUCCUCAAAUCCAACGCAUCUAUAAAAAGUUUGAUCUUCUUCUUCAUCAUGCGUACAGAAAGCUCCAUGGUCUCAAAGAAAGCUCAAAGCUUAAGUAGUGUGUAAAAACUAAUUUUCUUCUUUGGUACAAAUGUACUGAUUCUUCUCAACAAGCUAGGUCCGGCAUACUUGUAUUUUCAUUCAAGUGUACAAAACAGAGACUAAUAACAUAAAAACUUUGAUCACAGAGCUUUUCUACCAAUUUUUUCAUUCUUUCCGUUACAGAGGGUGGACGCCAACGAGGAAGACAACAAAUUAUCUAUAAAAAUAAAAAAUAAAAAAUAAAAAAGAGUUGCAAUUGCGAAGCACACGCAAAAUCAAGGAACACACUCGAUCUACGUUCUAACCACCAUCAACACGCGAUCAAGAGAGUCAACUGAGAAAUGAUGCGCAAAACAGAAACAAUGAUAAUUAAUUAAUUAAAAAAAAAUUGACAACACGACGCAACAG
Molecule: long non-coding RNA, 579 nt
Filed under: Vitis vinifera (wine grape)
Lineage: Eukaryota; Viridiplantae; Streptophyta; Magnoliopsida; Vitales; Vitaceae
Description: long non-coding RNA (VVIN_LNC000378)
Source: RNAcentral